Molecule: transfer RNA, 72 nt
Organism: Vittaforma corneae ATCC 50505
Lineage: Eukaryota; Fungi; Microsporidia; Nosematidae
Rfam family: tRNA
About the family: Transfer RNA (tRNA) molecules are approximately 80 nucleotides in length. Their secondary structure includes four short double-helical elements and three loops (D, anti-codon, and T loops).
Source: Rfam
GGGGCUAUAGCUCAGUGGUAGAGCGCUUGCUUUGCAUGUAAGAGGCCAUGGGUUCGAAUCCUGUUAGCUCCA